RNAcentral lists this transfer RNA (65 nucleotides) under Dipodomys ordii (Ord's kangaroo rat). It matches the Rfam family "tRNA". Rfam says of the family: Transfer RNA (tRNA) molecules are approximately 80 nucleotides in length. Their secondary structure includes four short double-helical elements and three loops (D, anti-codon, and T loops). The record is from Rfam by way of RNAcentral. Lineage: Eukaryota; Metazoa; Chordata; Mammalia; Rodentia; Heteromyidae.
GAUGGCUCAGUGGCAGAGCACUUGCCUUGCAUGCAUGAGGCCCUGGGUUCGAUUCCUCAGCAUCA